This 636-nucleotide ribosomal RNA is filed under the name uncultured eukaryote. Its description in RNAcentral is "SSU rRNA". It matches the Rfam family "Eukaryotic small subunit ribosomal RNA", at positions 609 to 1246 of the family's 1831-position model. The record is from RNAcentral.
GUUGUUGCAGUUAAAAAGCUCGUAGUUGAAUUUCUGGAAUGAACUUUCGGUCCGAGGCCUUGUGUCUUGCGUACUGUUUCUGUUCAUCCCAUCUUAGUAGUGAGUGUUACUGGCAUUCGGUUGUCGGUUGCAGGAGCUGCUUCGUUUACUGUGAAUAAAAUAGAGUGUUUAAAGCAGGCAUUACGCCUUGAAUACUUCAGCAUGGAAUAAAAUUAUAGGACUUAGGUGCUAUUUUAUUGGUUUGCACACCUAGUAAUGAUUAAUAGGGAUAGUUGGGGGUAUUCAUAUUUGAUUGUCAGAGGUGAAAUUCUUGGAUUUAUGAAAGAUGAACUUAUGCGAAAGCAUUUACCAAGGAUGUUUUCAUUAAUCAAGAACGAAAGUUAGGGGAUCGAAGAGGAUUAGAUACCCUCGUAGUCUUAACCAUAAACUAUGCCGACUCGGGAUCAGUGGGGUUUGUUUUACGUCUCCAUUGGCACCGUAUGAGAAAUCAAAGUCUUUGGGUUCCGGGGGGAGUAUGGUCGCAAGGCUGAAACUUAAAGGAAUUGACGGAAGGGCACCACCAGGAGUGGAGCCUGCGGCUUAAUUUGACUCAACACGGGGAAACUUACCAGGUCCGGACAUAGUAAGGAUUGACAG